Molecule: long non-coding RNA, 241 nt
Filed under: Nicotiana benthamiana
Lineage: Eukaryota; Viridiplantae; Streptophyta; Magnoliopsida; Solanales; Solanaceae
Description: long non-coding RNA (NBEN_LNC036927)
Source: RNAcentral
UUAGCAAGAAAUGUAAUAGGUAUUUACACAAGUUAUAACUCAUCAAAAAGUUGUUGCACACUUCUCUCAAUAUGGCUAUGAGGAAAGCAUCCAUCACUUUGUUCUCUGUAGUUUGUCUUAUGCUUAUCACCAUAGGUAUAUAUUUCUCCCUCUUUUGCUUUCUCAUCAAAUGAAAAUCCUGAUUUAUAUAUGUUUGUAUGCUCAAAUUAUUAUUAACAUAAAGUAUUUCAUAACACAAAUU